RNAcentral lists this ribosomal RNA (245 nucleotides) under uncultured archaeon. RNAcentral's name for it is "partial 16S ribosomal RNA". It matches the Rfam family "Archaeal small subunit ribosomal RNA", at positions 474 to 718 of the family's 1478-position model. The record is from RNAcentral.
UACUAGCGGUCCAAGUCGCAGCCAUCAUUAUUGGGUCUAAAAUAUCCGUAGCUUGCUUAAUAAGUUCCUUGUGAAAUCCUAUCUCUUAAGGAUAGGGCGUGCAGGGAAUACUGCUAAGCUAGAGACUGGAAGACGUAGAAAGUAUGUUCAAAGUAGCGGUAAAAUGUGUUAAUCUUGAGCAGACUCACAAUAGCGAAGGCAUUCUACGAGGACAGUUCUGACAGUAAAGGAUGAAGGCUAGGGGC